CGCCAGACUCCUACGGGAGGCAGCAGUGGGGAAUAUUGCACAAUGGGGGAAACCCUGAUGCAGCGACGCCGCGUGAAGGAAGAAGUAUUUCGGUAUGUAAACUUCUAUCAGCAGGGAAGAAAAUGACGGUACCUGAAGAAGAAGCCCCGGCUAACUACGUGCCAGCAGCCGCGGUAAUACGUAGGGGGCAAGCGUUAUCCGGAUUUACUGGGUGUAAAGGGGGCGCAGACGGCGAUGCAAGCCAGGAGUGAAAGCCCGGGGCCCAACCCCGGGACUGCUCUUGGAACUGCGUGGCUGGAGUGCAGGAGGGGCAGGCGGAAUUCCUGGUGUAGCGGUGAAAUGCGUAGAUAUCAGGAGGAACACCGGUGGCGAAGGCGGCCUGCUGGACUGCAACUGACGUUGAGGCCCGAAAGCGUGGGGAGCAAACAGGAUUAGAUACCCCCGUAGC
RNAcentral lists this ribosomal RNA (448 nucleotides) under uncultured bacterium. Its description in RNAcentral is "bacterial SSU rRNA". It matches the Rfam family "Bacterial small subunit ribosomal RNA", at positions 329 to 794 of the family's 1533-position model. The record is from RNAcentral.